Molecule: ribosomal RNA, 305 nt
Filed under: uncultured bacterium
Lineage: Bacteria
Description: bacterial SSU rRNA
Rfam family: Bacterial small subunit ribosomal RNA
Source: RNAcentral
UUCACCUACGGGGGGCAGCAGUGAGGAAUAUUGGUCAAUGGGCGGGAGCCUGAACCAGCCAAGUCGCGUGAAGGAAGAAGGUACUUAGUAUUGUAAACUUCUUUUGUCGGGGAACAAAGGCGGAGACGCGUCUCCGGAUGAGUGUACCCGAAGAAAAAGCAUCGGCUAACUCCGUGCCAGCAGCCGCGGUAAUACGGAGGAUGCGAGCGUUAUCCGGAUUUAUUGGGUUUAAAGGGUGCGCAGGCGGUCUGUUAAGUCAGCGGUCAAAGCCCGGGGCUCAACCCCGGCCCGCCGUUGAAACUGGC